UCGAGCGAUGAAGUUUCUUCGGAAAUGGAUUAGCGGCGAACGGGUGAGGAACACGUGAAGAAUCUGCCCUCCACUUUGGGAUAACACCGGGAAACCGGUGCUAAUACCGAAUAUUGAAACAUAAGUGGCAUCACUGAGUUUUGAAAGAAUUUCGGUGGAGGAUGACUUCGCGGCCUAUCAGCUAGUUGGUGAGGUAAUGGCUCACCAAGGCAACGACGGGUAGCCGGCCUGAGAGGGCGACCGGCCACACUGGGACUGAGACACGGCCCAGACUCCUACGGGAGGCAGCAGUGGGGAAUAUUGGGCAAUGGAGGAAACUCUGACCCAGCGACGCCGCGUGCGGGAUGAAGGCCUUCGGGUUGUAAACCGCUUUCAGUAGGGAAGAAGCGAAAGUGACGGUACCUACAAAAGAAGCACCGGCUAACUAUGUGCCAGCAGCCGCGGUAAUACAUAGGGUGCAAGCGUUGUCCGGAAUUAUUGGGCGUAAAGAGCUCGUAGGUCGUUUGUUACGUCGGAUGUGAAAACCUGAGGCUCAACCUCAGGCCUGCAUUCGAUACGGGCAAACUAGAGUUUGGUAGGGGAGACUGGAAUUCCUGGUGUAGCGGUGGAAUGCGCAGAUAUCAGGAGGAAC
This 631-nucleotide ribosomal RNA is filed under the name uncultured Actinomycetales bacterium. Its description in RNAcentral is "bacterial SSU rRNA". It matches the Rfam family "Bacterial small subunit ribosomal RNA", at positions 62 to 707 of the family's 1533-position model. The record is from RNAcentral. Lineage: Bacteria; Bacillati; Actinomycetota; Actinomycetes; Actinomycetales.